CGGGUGGCAAACCCGUCGGCGCAAUGAAAGUGAAGGCAGGCGUUUGGCCUGCUGUGGCGAGAGCCUCCCCCCGGGGGGCGCAUCGUCGACCGAUCCCAGGCUACGCUGUGGCGGGAUUUGAGUGAGAGCGUGCCUGUUGCGACCCGAAAGAUGGUGAACUAUGCCUGAAUAGGGUGAAGCCAGAGGAAACUCUGGUGGAAGCUCGCAGCGAUUCUGACGUGCAAAUCGAUCGUCAAAUUUGGGUAUAGGGGCGAAAGACUAAUCGAACCAUCUAGUAGCUGGUUCCCUCCGAAGUUUCCCUCAGGAUAGCUGGAGCCCGGUGCAGUUUUAUCAGGUAAAGCGAAUGAUUAGAGGUCUUGGGGCUGAAACAGCCUCAACCUAUUCUCAAACUUUAAAUGGGUAAGAAGCCUGGCUUGCUUGGUUGAAGUCGGGCGUAGAAUGCCGGGGCUCCCAGUGGGCCAUUUUUGGUAAGCAGAACUGGCGAUGUGGGAUGAACCAAAUGCCGGGUUAAGGUGCCUGAAUCGACGCUCAUCAGAUCCCAUGAAAGGUGUUGGUUGAUACUGACAGCAGGACGGUGGCCA
This 581-nucleotide ribosomal RNA is filed under the name Myxilla cf. rosacea CM-2010. RNAcentral describes it as "eukaryotic LSU rRNA". It matches the Rfam family "Eukaryotic large subunit ribosomal RNA", at positions 695 to 1254 of the family's 3401-position model. The record is from RNAcentral. Lineage: Eukaryota; Metazoa; Porifera; Demospongiae; Poecilosclerida; Myxillidae.